This 468-nucleotide ribosomal RNA is filed under the name uncultured bacterium. RNAcentral's name for it is "partial 16S ribosomal RNA". It matches the Rfam family "Bacterial small subunit ribosomal RNA", at positions 28 to 507 of the family's 1533-position model. The record is from RNAcentral.
GACGAACGCUGGCGGCGUGCUUAACACAUGCAAGUCGAACGGAAAGGCCCUGCUUUUGUGGGGUGCUCGAGUGGCGAACGGGUGAGUAACACGUGAGUAACCUGCCCUUGACUUUGGGAUAACUUCAGGAAACUGGGGCUAAUACCGGAUAGGAGCUCCUGCUGCAUGGUGGGGGUUGGAAAGUUUCGGCGGUUGGGGAUGGACUCGCGGCUUAUCAGCUUGUUGGUGGGGUAGUGGCUUACCAAGGCUUUGACGGGUAGCAGGCCUGAGAGGGUGACCGGCCACAUUGGGACUGAGAUACGGCCCAGACUCCUACGGGAGGCAGCAGUGGGGAAUAUUGCACAAUGGGCGGAAGCCUGAUGCAGUAACGCCGCGUGCGGGAUGACGGCCUUCGGGUUGUAAACCGCUUUCGCCUGUGACGAAGCGUGAGUGACGGUAAUGGGUAAAGAAGCACCGGCUAACUACGUG